AUGACGAGCUUCUUCCUCGCCGCCGUCCUGGCUCUUCACGUCGGCCUGGGAACUGCAGAGGCAGAUGACGGGAUAUCAGAGCUACUCUACAACUAUGCGGCCUAUUAUGGCGAUUACCUGUACGCCACCGGGGAAUAUUACACCGAGAACAUCACAUUGAUACCCACAAUAUACCCCUACGAGGAGGAAUACCCGGAGCCCGGGGGCGCGGGAUCAGCCCUGCGAUGUCACCUGCCUCUCAUCAUCCUCUUCAGCCUCCUGGCCUCCAUGUUAUGACUCCCGGUCUCCCCCCUUAGAAGAGCCGGCGACAUCGGAUACGAAAGAGCCACCCCCUCCCCGUGGGGUCCGGACGGAGCCGUCCCCUCCGGAUUUGGCACCACUGUGACUUUACACACGGAAUUUGGGGACACGGACGGCACUGCCCGGGGCCUUGCACGGGCGCCAAAGAGCUUCGCCGGGCUCCGCUCCCUCCCCAUUUCCUCUAAUUCUGCUGUAAAUAGGAACSCCUGCCAAUAAAAUCACUAACAGCCGACUCCACGUCUCAGGGCUGCGGGAUGCAGCCCCAAGCCUGGAGCAGCCCGCGCAGAGCGGGUUAAUCCCGCUUUCCCUAUGCAAUUCCCAGCGGCUUUGCC
Long non-coding RNA from Nothoprocta perdicaria, 632 nucleotides. RefSeq lists it as uncharacterized. The transcript is spliced from 5 exons. Lineage: Eukaryota; Metazoa; Chordata; Aves; Tinamiformes; Tinamidae. The record is from RefSeq and is a predicted model, not a curated record.